UUUAAAAACGUCUGCUAAAACGAAGCAAAAUAUCGAACCGCUUUUACAAAAAACUUUUUUAUCUACUAUUUUGAAGCUCUCUUUGAUGCAUAUCUGAAACAAACAUCGCUGAGUAAUUUAUCGUAUUGUCAGUUAUUUUGAAACCGUUAGGGGCUUGAGCAUUUGUUCAACGUUGAAAAAAUAAAAACAGCAUAGUGGAUACUUUGUUAUUACUUUAAUUAUUGGUCUAAAGACGUUUUCAAAAGUUGGAGAAUGGACGAUAACCAUGGAGACAAGAAGAGUCGAAGACAAAGUAAAGCAAAAAGAAACAUAAAGGUGAACAAUCCGAAGUCCAAGUUAAAAAAAUGGAACCGUGAAAGAGGACCCAGGGUAUUAUUGCGACUACUGUGAUAUUCAUUUAACCAGUAAUGCGAUGAAUGUGCGUAAAACUCACAUUGAUGGGAAACACCACAAAGAAAAUGUUAAACAUCAUUACGAGGCUGUGAUGCAAGAAAACGCCCAAAAAAUCAUCAAUAGAACAAUUCAAGACGCUGAGGCAACGCAUAUGGCGCCCAACAUUUUAUCACACGAUGUUAUGUUCUAUCCACUGAUGAACGUAAACAAUCCCUUCCUGAUAUCAACACGGAACUUCGCACCAUUCAUCAAUUUUCCGCCGCCAUGUUGUAAGCCACUUGUCUAUUUUACAGACUACUGACUAGUACUGUUUAUUUGUUUUAUUUUUAAUGAUACAACACAGCUACUGUUUGCCUUAUGUUGCAUUGACAACCUCCUUCCCGUGCUUUUUCUACGCUGAGAGAAAAUCCUGCCAUGACGAUUUCGUAUCCCAUCCAAAUCCUCGGGUAGGACGGCAUUCUUUAUCUAGUUUUUUUAACUAUUUCUCUUGUGAAGAGACGUUCUGCUUUUUUAUAGAUAUUUUGUUUUCUGUAUUUUUUACUCUUUUUAUUAUUUUUCAGCAAUUGUUUUAUUAUAUUCAGAUAUACCUUCCAACCCAAGCAAUGCCUUCGCCAACAUGCAUGCGUACUAUAACGCGUGAUUUCGCAUUUUUGGACGAAUGGAAUGACGUGUUGGUGCCGGAAUGACGUGUUGGCGCCAAAAACACAAACAUCUUAUUAUUGUACAAAAUAUUAGAAAAAUGUUAAAUACGAAACGGUAAAUAUCGAUUGGA
Hydractinia symbiolongicarpus is the source of this 1165-nucleotide long non-coding RNA. RefSeq lists it as uncharacterized. The record is from RefSeq and is a predicted model, not a curated record. The transcript has 5 exons. NCBI's taxonomy places the organism in Eukaryota, Metazoa, Cnidaria, Hydrozoa, Anthoathecata, Hydractiniidae.